CUUCCUAACGGCUUCACAAGGACAUCCAGGGCAAUGAUGCUUCAUUCUGGCUUGCUGGUGAACCCACUGGGCAGGAAGCCUCAGGAUAAGUGACAGGUAGGUCUUAGUGUUGCUCUUGACUCAAUGACAAGGUUUCAGGCUGCCCAGG
Molecule: non-coding RNA, 148 nt
Organism: Tursiops truncatus (common bottlenose dolphin)
Lineage: Eukaryota; Metazoa; Chordata; Mammalia; Artiodactyla; Delphinidae
Source: Rfam